Molecule: long non-coding RNA, 2066 nt
Organism: Electrophorus electricus (electric eel)
Lineage: Eukaryota; Metazoa; Chordata; Actinopteri; Gymnotiformes; Gymnotidae
Source: RefSeq, a predicted model, not a curated record
UUAUAGGCUAUCCGGGGGUAUUUAAGGCCUAACUGGGGUUGUCGCUUCGCUCUUUCAUUCCAUUGGCCUCUCACCUAUUAGCAUCUGCAGUCACGUUCUUUGGCGUUGCAGCUACGCUGUGAAAGAGUAAUCAGCUCACUGAAACAUGUCGGCAACAUAUACAGAACCGAAGCUCGGGGCUCGACUGGAAAUCAGUGGUGGUAAGUGCGCCACAGUCGAGAUAUGGAGAGGCAGGUCCGAGACACACCAAAUAGUUUUCAAACUGUUGCAGAAGACAAAGCGAAAUGUUACUGUCUAUUCGAGGAUGCUAGACGAUAACAGCGUCUCCUUUGCGCUCUGCUUUGAACGGAGUAAUGCGAAGUAUUUUCCUGUCGUACAAAGGGCAAAGGACAAAUCAAAUAAGGAAGAGAUUCAAUUUCAGGUCCGGAAGAUAAGUGGCGAACCAUCCGAAAUUGUUUUCGACGACAUGUACCUUUUUAAGUGGGGAGGGGGGAAUGACGCCUGGGGAACUCUGGUCUCUGUGGCAGAACCCAGUAAAUACUUGAGUGUGUCUGGCAACCGGGUAGUCCUCAGUUCCAAACCACACAGUUGUUUCCGAAUAAUCCCACAGCAUGACUUCCCAAUAUUGUGAACUAGAUUAAUUUUUCAUCCAUGUAGAUGCUCUAUAGAUAAGGUUAACAUCCCAAUAUUUAGACAUUCUUGAAGUAAGCAGUUUUUCAUUGUUCAGAGUAUUAAGCUUCUCUGUAUUAUAUACCCAUUAUUUUAUAGGUAAAAAAAAUCAUACUCUGCAAAUGCAACUUUGCCCUAAUAACUAUUAUAUGGCCAUGCCAAUGUAUAAAAUAAAGUUAUGCAUGGCCACUGGAGCCAAACCAGACUAGAUGGGAUACUUUGCUUUAUUCAUUGACUUAAUCACUAAGAGCAGUAUGCAGCAAAAUAAUGCUUCUGAUGUCUUAGUUUGUUUAUCAUCAGCCACGGCAGGUGAAUCUCUGUGAAGGCACUUUUCAUAUUCCUACACUGCUGUUUUCUUUUAAUACAGUGUAACUCAUUAGUAGACUAGCCCUUAACCAAAUACUUUAUUUGUAUUACAUAGUAUACACUCAUUUUACUUUGUAUUACAUAUUUUGUCAAGCAACAGUUGUCUAACCUUGUCAAUACUGAUACCUUAUACAAUUUAAGUCAUAUAGCAAUAUUUUCUUUAUUAAUAUAAUCCAUAUGUACAUAUUCAAUUAUUUGUGCUAUUAAAUAGGUGACCUUGAGAAUGACAAUUUAAAGCCAGGAAGUAAAUCUCUGUAGUCUUCAUUGCCAGGACUGCUUCUGAUGUUUUCUGCUCUCAUAUAUUCAGUGCCCCAUAUUUGGUUCUUGAUGUAUUCAGGAUGUGACUAAGCCCAGCUGUGAUAGUGCCUGAGUUCAUAGCAAGUCCACCAACCACACCUACUAGGGAAAUGCUCUGUAGUGAACUUUCACUUGAGAAAAUACAGUGGCACUCUUCAUAUACAGCAGGAUAGUUGUAUAAUGGGCUCUGCAGUGUCUUUUAAAGUCUCUUGUACCAUUAGUGAAGAGACCUGUGCUACUAUGAGAGCUGUGUAAAACUGAACUACUGGAAAGACAAUUGGAAAAUAGAUUUAAAGAAAUAAUUUAAAAAUAUUCAGAAGUCCAUGAGUACUAAACCAGUUCACUUCAAUUUAUUGAAAUUCCCAGAAGAGGCUUAAUUUUCUCAAACUUUGAUAAAAAAUAAAAAAAAAUUCUAUGUACAAUUUAUGACAAGGUUUGGCAAACUGUGUGUUCUGUAAUUGCAGCAGGUUGUACAGUCUAAUUGACCUUUUGUUUGUCAAAGGUUGUGUUACUUCACUGAAUAAAUGUGUAGGCACUACUUGGAAUGAUGGGCUUGUCAUGGGUAUGGAAUGUAUGAAAAACUCCUGUGGUUCCUGACUUGCCAUUACUAACUUAAAAAAACUUAUGUUAGGGAAUGUAUUUUUAUUACAUAUAAGCAAGGCAAAGAGGGUACUCUAAGAUGCCUUUCUGCAUUCAUGUGUAUAGUGAAAUAAAGGUUAUUUUAAAUAUGGCAA